RNAcentral lists this long non-coding RNA (807 nucleotides) under Papio anubis (olive baboon). Its description in RNAcentral is "lncRNA (ENSPANG00000038454.1)". Lineage: Eukaryota; Metazoa; Chordata; Mammalia; Primates; Cercopithecidae. The record is from RNAcentral.
CCAUGGUAAUUCUGACACUGUCAGCUGCAAACCAGUAUUAGGAGAUCACAGCUCGAGGUUCCUUCCAAUCCCUGGCUUCUGUGAUUCCAGAUUCUGAGAUUCCCUGCGUUGGAAAGUCAUUUUAGCUAGGCCAGCACUGCCACCGCUGGCCAUGGCGAGGCUGGGUCCCAGGGAGGGGAAGUGACGUGCCCAUGGCCUCACAGAUAGCUUGCAGCCAGAGCUGUAACCGGAGCCCUGCCUAGGCUGCCAGGCCAGGUUCCCAGCCCCCUGCCUGGCCAACUUUGUCAUGCCCAAGGAAUUCCCAGCUGUCAGAAAUGGGCGGGGACCGCAGGCGACUGCAGGGAGCCAGCUGUAGGUUCAGGCUAAGGCCGGCUGUGCCCGAGGGGCACAACACCUGAGUGGAGAUGAGCAGCCCAGGGGCGCCCUGCUGACCCGCACCCUUCCCAGACCACAGAGGGCGAAGAGGUCGCUGACUGGAGCUGGUCUGCUGAGGGCCUUCAGGAAGCCUCCGGGGUGCCCAACACAUCAAGAGAGCAUCUCACGCUGGGCGCCUGCGUCUCCAGUCCUCGUGGAACCGUACCUGUGAGAAGGUGGAGGACCCUUCGGCACAGCCGCUGCCUGCCCCAGGGGUAGGGGCUAAUCUUGAGGGUGGGUCUUUGGAAUGGAGCAAGUAGAGGUGAGGAGUGAGGGGGAACGGGGUGUGUUCUAUCCUAUGCUUUGUGAUGAACUCCUAGUCCCAUUUGAGGGAGGGGAAAACUGAGGCUGGGUACGAGAGACUUUCCCAAGAUCAUCUAAUUUGCAGCAGAG